CGCUAGCGGCAGGCCUAAUACAUGCGAAGUCGGAGGAGAUUUGUUGGAUUUCGUCUGACAUGAAACCGGCGCACGGGUGCGUAACACGUAUGCAACCUACCUUUAACUGGGGUAUAGCUCAGAAGAAAUCUGAAUUAAUCCCCCAUAAGACUACGACAUGGCAUCAUGAUGUAGUUAAAGCUCCGGCGGUUAAGGAUGGGCAUGCGGUACAUUAGCUAGUUGGUGAGGUAAUGGCUCACCAAGGCUACGAUGUAUAGGGGGUCUGAGAGGAUGAUCCCCCACACUGGUACUGAGACACGGACCAGACUCCUACGGGAGGCAGCAGUAGGGAAUAUUGGUCAAUGGACGCAGGUCUGAACCAGCCAUGCCGCGUGAAGGAUGAAGGCCCUAUGGGUCGUAAACUUCUUUUAUUAGGGAAGAAAAAAUGGGAUGCGUCCUAUACUGACGGUACUUAAUGAAUAAGGAUCGGCUAACUUCGUG
Molecule: ribosomal RNA, 480 nt
Filed under: uncultured bacterium
Lineage: Bacteria
Description: bacterial SSU rRNA
Rfam family: Bacterial small subunit ribosomal RNA
Source: RNAcentral